CAGGUGCGCACCGGCGGAGCUGUGAGACUCGUACCUAUGAGGACCAGCGCUGUGACACAGGUGUAACAGGGAGGAUGGGUGUGAUAGAUACUUGGUUUCAUCAUGUAAUGCGCCGGGAUCAGUGAUACAGCCACUCCUCGGAGACAGCUGGUUUGGAAAUAGUUGAGCAACACUCUGGUCCAUGGAAAGCUACAACGAAUCUUAAAAACGAAAGGUGGCUUAAACACCCCAAACGACGGUUCUGUCAGCUGUUAGUAGAAAAAUAAAAGUUUGAUCUCUAAAACAA
Long non-coding RNA from Xiphophorus maculatus (southern platyfish), 286 nucleotides. RefSeq lists it as uncharacterized. The record is from RefSeq and is a predicted model, not a curated record. Lineage: Eukaryota; Metazoa; Chordata; Actinopteri; Cyprinodontiformes; Poeciliidae. The transcript has 2 exons.